Molecule: RNA transcript, 2171 nt
Organism: Hevea brasiliensis (rubber tree)
Lineage: Eukaryota; Viridiplantae; Streptophyta; Magnoliopsida; Malpighiales; Euphorbiaceae
Gene name: chaperone protein dnaJ GFA2, mitochondrial
Exons: 18
Source: RefSeq, a predicted model, not a curated record
UCAUAUGGCUCUCUCUCUCUCUCUCUCUCUCUCAUCAUAACUAGAACCUUCUAAUCCCUAACAGAAGUUUUAGGGUUUUUCCUGGGUUUAAACCCCAAACUAACUUACUCCUACGCUAGAACCCAUCUUUCUCUUUUGUUAUUCAGAGACAGUAAAAUUCCAGGAAAACCCUAAAAAGCCACCACCUAAUGGGUCGCUCUUAUGGCGUCAAACUUGUUGCUUGGCUCGCUCGCCGCUCCCCCUCAUUCAACCUUUUCGAAGAUUCUGCUGAUACCGUAUAUAAGAGUCUAUCAAAUGGGAGUUGUAGGAGAUUGAGUAGUGGGAUUUGUAACCCUGGUAGGGUUAUUGGCAGUUACUCUCCCAAAAAUGCUAACCACAAAAACUGGUUGUUAUUGGGAUCUUUGAAUGCCAAUUUUAGGACAACGAGGUCAAUUCAUGGAUCUGCUUAUAUGUCAAGAGAUUAUUAUGACGUACUUGGUGUUAACAAGAAUGCUAGUUCAUCUGAAAUAAAGAAAGCUUAUUAUUUGCUGGCAAAGAAACUCCAUCCUGAUACAAAUAAAGAUGAUCCUGAAGCUGAAAAGAAGUUUCAAGAAGUUUCAAAGGCAUACGAGGUUUUGAAAGAUGAUGAAAAACGUGCACAAUAUGAUGAGGUCGGCCAUGAUGCAUAUGAACAUAACCUCAAUGGAGAUUUUCAUCCUGGUGGACCAGGAUUCGAUAAUCCAUUUGACAGCUUCUUCAGAAUGGAUGAUAUAUUCAACAACAUAUUUAAGCAGAAGCUUGGCGGCCAAGAUGUCAAGGUUGCUAUUGAACUAUCCUUCAUGGAAGCUGUUCAGGGAUGCACCAAAACUAUCACAUUUCAAGCUGAUAUACCUUGUGAAGCUUGUCGUGGAGAAGGUAUUCCUCCUGGGGUAAGACCCCAAAUGUGUAAGAGCUGUAAAGGCACUGGCAUGGUGUUUACCCAGAAAGGCUUUGUUAGUCUUCAGCAUACUUGUAACAAAUGUGGUGGAACUGGGCAAACUGUAUCGAGUUUUUGCAGAUCAUGCAAUGGUGGUAAAGUAGUGAGAGGAACAAAGUCUGUCAAAUUGGAUAUUAUGCCAGGAGUGGAUGACAAUGAAACAAUAAAGAUGCCAAGAAGUGGUGGAGCAGACCCAGAGAGAAAUCAAUCUGGUGAUCUAUUUGUAACAAUCAGGGUUCGGGAAGAUCCUAUUUUCCGUAGAGAAGGUUCUAACAUUCAUGUGGAUGCUGUUUUGAGUGUUACUCAGGCAAUUUUGGGGGGAACCAUCCAGGUUCCUACUCUCACAGGAGAUGUUGUACUUAAGGUCCGCCCUGGCACCCAGCCUGGCCAGAAGGUGGUCCUAAAGAAAAAAGGUGACUACUGAAUCAUACAAUUUUGAGGGAAUGCUCUGGAAUUCAAUAUGUUUUGGAUUCACUGAGACUCUGGGAGGAAUUCUUUUCAAACUUCUCUUUUGAACUGAGAUGUGGCUGCGUGUUCUUCCUCCUAUUAUUCUUGUCUUUACAUCAUCGAUGGACUAAAUUUAGAAUGUUUUCUCAUUAUGGCUGACGUGGAAGUCUGUUGCAAUUUUAUGUUAAAUCUUGAAUUGUUGCUGCUGAAUUUUGUAAAUCUCUCAGCAUUUUGAAUUGUGGUGCUUCAUACAUGUGUUAGGGACAUGGGGUUAUUCAUUCUAGUAAUCGUCUGUUUUAAUUUGUACUCGAGUGAAUAAUAAUUUGUCUCUGUGUGUAUCAACAGGGAUUAAAGCUCGCAGCUCUUACUCUUUUGGUGACCAAUUUGUGCACUUCACUGUCAGCAUUCCAACGAGCUUGACUCCAAGACAACGGGAAUUGAUUGAAGAGUUUUCCAAAGAAGAACAGGGUGAAUAUGGUAAGUGUGCUGCUGGAGCCUCUGGGUGAAAAGACAAGUGCAAAGCCUUCAUCAACCGUCUCAGGGUCUGCAAGACAAUAUAAAAGAAAAGGGAUACAGAAUAGCAGGAAAGGUCAUAUUAAUUAUCCGAUCUGUACUGGAAGUUUUGUAGGGUGAAAUUUAUUGAGAUAUAUGUGACAUUUUGUUUAUUUUGAAGGAAUGUAAUAUUUUUUCCCAAUAUUUUUUCCCCGUGCAGAUCACAAUCACAUGUACGAUAUUAUUUGAGGCCAAAAUAUGAUCUCCUUUCAUUCAA